Molecule: ribosomal RNA, 1457 nt
Filed under: uncultured organism
Description: SSU rRNA
Rfam family: Bacterial small subunit ribosomal RNA
Source: RNAcentral
AGGAUGAACGCUGGCGGCGUGCCUAACACAUGCAAGUCGAGCGAAGCACUUUGCUUAGAUUCUUCGGAUGAAGAGGAUUGUGACUGAGCGGCGGACGGGUGAGUAACGCGUGGGUAACCUGCCUCAUACAGGGGGAUAACAGUUAGAAAUGACUGCUAAUACCGCAUAAGACCACAGCACCGCAUGGUGCAGGGGUAAAAACUCCGGUGGUAUGAGAUGGACCCGCGUCUGAUUAGCUAGUUGGUAAGGUAACGGCUUACCAAGGCGACGAUCAGUAGCCGACCUGAGAGGGUGACCGGCCACAUUGGGACUGAGACACGGCCCAAACUCCUACGGGAGGCAGCAGUGGGGAAUAUUGCACAAUGGGGGAAACCCUGAUGCAGCGACGCCGCGUGAGCGAAGAAGUAUUUCGGUAUGUAAAGCUCUAUCAGCAGGGAAGAAAAUGACGGUACCUGACUAAGAAGCACCGGCUAAAUACGUGCCAGCAGCCGCGGUAAUACGUAUGGUGCAAGCGUUAUCCGGAUUUACUGGGUGUAAAGGGAGCGUAGACGGAUGGGCAAGUCUGAUGUGAAAACCCGGGGCUCAACCCCGGGACUGCAUUGGAAACUGUUCAUCUAGAGUGCUGGAGAGGUAAGUGGAAUUCCUAGUGUAGCGGUGAAAUGCGUAGAUAUUAGGAGGAACACCAGUGGCGAAGGCGGCUUACUGGACAGUAACUGACGUUGAGGCUCGAAAGCGUGGGGAGCAAACAGGAUUAGAUACCUUGGUAGUCCACGCCGUAAACCAUGACUACUAGGUGUCGGGUUGGCAAACCCUUUCGGUGCCCGCUCAAACCCCAUAAGUAGUCCCCCUGGGGGAGUACGUUCGCAAGAAUGAAACUCAAAGGAAUUGACGGGGGACCCGCACAAGCGGUGGAGCAUGUGGUUUAAUUCGAAGCAACGCGAAGAACCUUACCUGCUCUUGACAUCCCGCUGACCGGACGGUAAUGCGUCCUUCCCUUCGGGGCAGCGGAGACAGGUGGUGCAUGGUUGUCGUCAGCUCGUGUCGUGAGAUGGUGGGUUAAGUCCCGCAACGAGCGCAACCCCUAUCUUUAGUAGCCAGCGGCCAGGCCGGGCACUCUAGAGAGACUGCCGGGGAUAACCCGGAGGAAGGUGGGGAUGGCGUCAAAUCAUCAUGCCCCUUAUGAGCAGGGCUACACACGUGCUACAAUGGCGCAAACAAAGGGAAGCGAGACCGCGAGGUGGAGCAAAUCCCAAAAAUAACGUCUCAGUUCGGAUUGUAGUCUGCAACUCGACUACAUGAAGCUGGAAUCGCUAGUAAUCGCGAAUCAGAAUGUCGCGGUGAAUACGUUCCCGGGUCUUGUACACACCGCCCGUCACACCAUGGGAGUCAGUAACGCCCGAAGUCAGUGACCCAACCGUAAGGAGGGAGCUGCCGAAGGCGGGACCGAUAACUGGGGU